GACCAAGGAGUCUAACAUGUGCGCGAGUCGUAGGGUUACGCUCAAAGCCCGAAGGCGCAAUGAAAGUGAAGGUCGGCCUCGAUUGCCGUUACCUAGGCGGGAUCCGUUCGGGCUUACCGGUCGUUCGCGGCUGAGCCCGGCGGCGCACCGCCGGCCCGUCUCGACCGCAUCGCCGGUGAGGCGGAGCGAGAGCGUACACGUUGGGACCCGAAAGAUGGUGAACUAUGCCCGGGCAGGACGAAGCCAGAGGAAACUCUGGUGGAGGUCCAUAGCGAUUCUGACGUGCAAAUCGCUCGUUGGACCUGUGUAUAGGGGCAAAAGACUCAUCGAACCAUUUAGUAGCUGGUUCCCUCCGAAGUUUCUUUGAGGAUAGCUGGUGCUCAAGGAGGGCAGUCUCAUCUGGUAAAGCAAAUGAUUAGAGGCCUUGGGGCCGAAACGACCUCAACCUAGUCUCAAACUUUCAAUGGGUGAGAAGUCCGGCUUCCUUGACUGAAGCCCUGA
This 501-nucleotide ribosomal RNA is filed under the name Craterostigmus tasmanianus. RNAcentral's name for it is "eukaryotic LSU rRNA". It matches the Rfam family "Eukaryotic large subunit ribosomal RNA", at positions 664 to 1105 of the family's 3401-position model. The record is from RNAcentral. Lineage: Eukaryota; Metazoa; Arthropoda; Chilopoda; Craterostigmomorpha; Craterostigmidae.